Molecule: small nuclear RNA, 105 nt
Organism: Phascolarctos cinereus (koala)
Lineage: Eukaryota; Metazoa; Chordata; Mammalia; Diprotodontia; Phascolarctidae
Source: Ensembl
GUACUCAUUUUGGCAGUAUAUAUGAGAACUAGAACAAAGCAAAAAAGAUCAGCUUAGUCCCUGGGAAAGGGUGACAUGCAAAUUCAUGAAGUGUUUCAAAUUGUU